This 472-nucleotide ribosomal RNA is filed under the name uncultured organism. RNAcentral describes it as "partial 16S ribosomal RNA". It matches the Rfam family "Bacterial small subunit ribosomal RNA", at positions 332 to 797 of the family's 1533-position model. The record is from RNAcentral.
UACACUCCGCGGGAGGCAGCAGUGGGGAAUUUUGGACAAUGGGCGAAAGCCUGAUCCAGCAAUGCCGCGUGAGUGAAGAAGGCCUUCGGGUUGUAAAGCUCUUUUGUCAGGGAAGAAACGGUGAAAGCUAAUAUCUUUUGCUAAUGACGGUACCUGAAGAAUAAGCACCGGCUAACUACGUGCCAGCAGCCGCGGUAAUACGUAGGGUGCAAGCGUUAAUCGGAAUUACUGGGCGUAAAGCGUGCGCAGGCGGUUUUGUAAGUCUGAUGUGAAAUCCCCGGGCUCAACCUGGGAAUUGCAUUGGAGACUGCAAGGCUAGAAUCUGGCAGAGGGGGGUAGAAUUCCACGUGUAGCAGUGAAAUGCGUAGAUAUGUGGAGGAACACCGAUGGCGAAGGCAGCCCCCUGGGUCAAGAUUGACGCUCAUGCACGAAAGCGUGGGGAGCAAACAGGAUUAGAAACCUCUGUAGUCCC